GACGAACGCUGGCGGCGUGCUUAACACAUGCAAGUCGAACGGAAAGGCCCUGCUUUUGUGGGGUGCUCGAGUGGCGAACGGGUGAGUAACACGUGAGUAACCUGCCCUUGACUUUGGGAUAACUUCAGGAAACUGGGGCUAAUACCGGAUAGGAGCUCCUGCUGCAUGGUGGGGGUUGGAAAGUUUCGGCGGUUGGGGAUGGACUCGCGGCUUAUCAGCUUGUUGGUGGGGUAGUGGCUUACCAAGGCUUUGACGGGUAGCCGGCCUGAGAGGGUGACCGGCCACAUUGGGACUGAGGUGAGGCCCCGACUCCUACGGGAGGCAGCAGUGGGGAAUAUUGCACCAUGGGCGGAAGCCUGAUGCAGCAACGCCGCGUGCGGGAUGACGGCCUUCGGGUUGUAAACCGCUUUCGCCUGUGACGAAGCGUGAGUGACGGUAAUGGGUAAAGAAGCACCGGCUAACUACGUG
RNAcentral lists this ribosomal RNA (468 nucleotides) under uncultured bacterium. Its description in RNAcentral is "partial 16S ribosomal RNA". It matches the Rfam family "Bacterial small subunit ribosomal RNA", at positions 28 to 507 of the family's 1533-position model. The record is from RNAcentral.